RNAcentral lists this ribosomal RNA (484 nucleotides) under uncultured bacterium. RNAcentral's name for it is "partial 16S ribosomal RNA". It matches the Rfam family "Bacterial small subunit ribosomal RNA", at positions 30 to 507 of the family's 1533-position model. The record is from RNAcentral.
AUUGAACGCUGGCGGCAGGCCUAACACAUGCAAGUCGAGCGGAUGAAGGGAGCUUGCUCCUGGAUUCAGCGGCGGACGGGUGAGUAAUGCCUAGGAAUCUGCCCGGUAGUGGGGGAUAACGUCCGGAAACGGGCGCUAAUACCGCAUACGUCCUGAGGGAGAACGUGGGGGAUCUUCGGACCUCACGCUAUCAGAUGAGCCUAGGUCGGAUUAGCUAGUUGGUGGGGUAAAGGCCUACCAAGGCGACGAUCCGUAACUGGUCUGAGAGGAUGAUCAGUCACACUGGAACUGAGACACGGUCCAGACUCCUACGGGAGGCAGCAGUGGGGAAUAUUGGACAAUGGGCGAAAGCCUGAUCCAGCCAUGCCGCGUGUGUGAAGAAGGUCUUCGGAUUGUAAAGCACUUUAAGUUGGGAGGAAGGGCAGUAAGUUAAUACCGUGCUGUUUUGACGUUACCAACAGAAUAAGCACCGGCUAACUUCGUG